GUUCCUGUAGUGUAGUGGUUAUGACGUUUGCUUUACACGCAAUAGGUCUCUGGUUCAAAACCAGACAAAAACA
Molecule: transfer RNA, 73 nt
Filed under: Poecilia formosa (Amazon molly)
Lineage: Eukaryota; Metazoa; Chordata; Actinopteri; Cyprinodontiformes; Poeciliidae
Rfam family: tRNA
About the family: Transfer RNA (tRNA) molecules are approximately 80 nucleotides in length. Their secondary structure includes four short double-helical elements and three loops (D, anti-codon, and T loops).
Source: Rfam by way of RNAcentral